AUGAACAGGUAUGAAACAUCAAGCAGCAUAAGGAAAGAUAGCAUGAUAUGAACAGCAAGAUAAGAUUGUUAUGAACAUGUAUGAAACAUCAAGCAGCAUAAGGAAAGAUAGCAUGAUAUGAACAGCAAGAUCAGUAAAGAUAACAGGAUAUCAAUAGGCAUGAUAAGGAAAGACACCAUUACCUGAUCAUCAUGCAACAAACACUCAAGACUCUUGCUGGGUGAAUCUCUUUUACAGGCACAAGCAUGGAAGGCAUUUUAGUAUACUUUGCAGGUGUUGACAAUGGAAUUUCUCUGAGCAGCUUCGAAU
Molecule: long non-coding RNA, 309 nt
Organism: Ipomoea nil (Japanese morning glory)
Lineage: Eukaryota; Viridiplantae; Streptophyta; Magnoliopsida; Solanales; Convolvulaceae
Exons: 3
Source: RefSeq, a predicted model, not a curated record